AGUGAACGCUGGCGGUAGGCCUAACACAUGCAAGUCGAACGGCAGCACAGUAAGAGCUUGCUCUUACGGGUGGCGAGUGGCGGACGGGUGAGGAAUACAUCGGAAUCUACUUUUUCGUGGGGGUUAACGUAGGGAAACUUACGCUAAUACCGCAUACGACCUACGGGUGAAAGCAGGGGAUCUUCUGACCUUGCGCGAUUGAAUGAGCCGAUGUCGGUGUAGCUAGUUGGCGGGGUAAAGGCCCACCAAGGCGACGAUCGGUAGCUGGUCUGAGAGGAUGGUCAGCGACCUGGGAGGUGAGACAGGGUCCAGAGUCCUGAGGGAGGGAGCAGUGGGGAAUAGGGGACAACGGGCGGGAGCCUGAUCCAACGAUAGCGAGUGGGAGACGGAAGCCUUCGGGCUGUGAAGACGUUUUGUUGGGAAAGAAAAGCAGCAGGUUGAUACGCCGCUGUUGUGACGGUAACGAAAGAAUAAGCACCGGCUAACUACGUG
RNAcentral lists this ribosomal RNA (492 nucleotides) under uncultured bacterium. Its description in RNAcentral is "partial 16S ribosomal RNA". It matches the Rfam family "Bacterial small subunit ribosomal RNA", at positions 30 to 507 of the family's 1533-position model. The record is from RNAcentral.